CUGGUAUAUUUUUGCUGAAAUAUAAAAAAUAUGUGUGAAAAAUUUUUUUAAAGCCCACCACCACCAACACAUGUGAUUGCUCCUAACCUCAUCCCAUCUCAUUCUUAUCCAUUAAGGACAAUUCCAUCUCCACCAGGUGGCUUGUGUAGCUCAAGAGGGAAGCGUAGGGGAAAGAGUUGAAAAUUUCCUGGUCAGCUGAAAGGAAUCACAUUGGCUGGGACAAAAGGGUUAAUUAAAGGAGAGUAGGAACAAGAGAGGAGGGAAAGAAAAGAGCCUGCCAAAGAAAAGUUGGGGAAAUUUUCCAGGAGCCGAAGAGGGACUACAGAUGGCACGGCUGGAUUGGAUUCUCACUGGCCAUCGCAGGUGCUUAGGAAACCUUGUUGAAAGAUUCUGUGAAUGUCUACUCUUCUGACCUGUGCUGACUGGGAUUGGACUAAAUGGAUUAGCCAAGGAUGGGAGGAACAGAUUCCACUAGUCUAAGGCACAUCGUCUCUGAGCUGGACUACAGCAGGCCUCCACCUUCCUCCUUCCCAUCUGUUUCUACUCAGGGCCCCUGUUCAUCUAAUUUCCAUGGAGGUCUUUUUUAAAAAAAUCAAGCAUGGUCUUGUUACACUUUGUGCUCAAACUCCUUAAGUGGAAAAGAAUUCAAGACCCUUAGUAUGACCCUUGAGGUCCCCUAUGACCCUGCCUCCCUCGCAGUCCCCUUUCACAGCAAUCUGCUCUCGUUCAUAGUGGUCCAGCCACACUGGCUGCCUUUGGUUUCCAUAAAUGCACAAACCUCUUUCCUUCCUCAGGCCUCUGCAUGGGCCAUUCCUCAUUCCACGCUCCCCUGACCCCAACCCAGUUCACUCUUCACUCUAACUCUUCCUUUACACCUUAGCUUAAACAUCAGUCCCUAAGAAGGCCUUCUCUGAUGCCUAUUCUAAGAUAGAUACCCACUUACACCACCACCACCAAAAACUCUGUAUUUUAUAUAUUACCAUGUGUAGUAAUACAUUUAUUUCUGUGAUCAAAAGAAUGUUAUUCCCCAGCUAGUCUAUAAGCACCAUGAGGAAAGGGCCUGGGUUACCUUGCUCUUCACUGUAUCUUCAGCCUGUAGAACCCAAGGCACAGUGUAUGUAUUUGGCAAAUGUGUGCUGAAUGAGCAAAUGAAUGAGUGGAAUGGAUAACAUGCAAAAGCCUGCAUCUACACAGUGAGGUUUCAUAGUCUCUCCACCAAAAUCAGAGUAGGAAAACAUUAUUAAAUACGCCAUGCAAACAUCUCGUCUUUGUGAAAGUCUGGGAUCUUUCACAAGGGUCUACAAGCUGGUGCCAGGCCUGGGUUCCAAUUCCCACAACCCUUCUUUUUUAGGUAUGAGUAAAAUACAGAGAAUAGGAUUUUUAAGAACUUCAGGAGGUUUCACGUCUCACUAUAUGAAGUAUCUUAGAAUGUACUCAUACACCAACUUGAAAAAUUACAUGUAAGUUAUAUUUAAGUGUUGAGUUGCUAAGUGAUUUAGUAGGUUGACCUAAUGUUACAUUUUAUAGAUAUUUAAUUAAACACAUUUGUUUGGGUUCUUCAGUUAACUUUCUGUAUUUUUGAGCCAGUUUUCUUUCUGUGUUUUGAGCUUUCUGUAUUUUAUAAUCUAUUUGGGGUCACAAACAUUUUCACUGGCUUCUAAAAAGGGUGUAGGCCACAGGCACAGGGAAUUUAAAGUCCAAUAGAAACAAAAAAUUUUGCAUAUAGGCACUCCUAAAGGGGAAAAGUAGCCGGGAAAAGGUUAUGAAAAGGUCAAGUGUGUGGCUGUGGUUUUGCAUGUGUAUGUGUGAGUUGUGAAGGCCACGUGGAAGCCAGCCUUGUUACCAACAAACUAGCCUAGGAAGCUGGCCAGUGGAGGCAAGCCAUUGAGUAAGGUAAUUAUGGAAUCAUGUGUUUAAAAACACACAUAGUAUUUUGUUUAAACAUUGAAAAGACCAUUACCUCCCAGCCACCGCCCUGUAUGAUGGAAACAAGUGAAUUCACAUAGGCCCUGGCUUACAGGAGCUCACAGUUCAAGGAGAAAGACACAAAAGAAAUUACAGAAUGUUCAAAUCUAUACUCAGUAGUUUUAUCGUUUGUGGGGAAAAAACCCUAUAUUUGAUAUUUGGCAAUUAUUUUCUCUAUAUUGUAAGUUUAAGCAAAUAAGUAAAUUAUAAAUGAUAGAUCCCUUGGGGUGGAAUGUCCAGAUUGGUGGUAUGAAGAGCUUGAUGAGUUUUCUCCCUCAAAGAAACAUGAUUAAGCUUGUGGAAAUUGGACAGGAUUAAGAUGGCAGAGUAGGAGGACUGGCACUUACCUUCUCUCACGAAAAACAACAAAAUUACAACCAACUGCUGAACAAGCUUCAACAAAAUAGACUGGAAACUAUCAAAAAAGGUAUUAUACUCCAAAAGACAAAGAGGCCACCUUGAGAUGGUAGGAGGGGCAAUUGUGUGAUAUAAGCAACCGCAUACCCAGUGGGUGGGAAGCUCAGAGUCUGGAAAGUAACUUAUAUCUCAGAGGCUCACCCAUGGGAGUGAGAGUUCUGAGCUCCAUGUCAGGUUCCCACACCUGGGGAUCUUGCUUUGGGAGGAGCAGUCCCCAGAGCCUUUGGCAUUUAGGGACAGUGGGGCUUAUGCCCAGGAAUUCCAUGGGACUGGGAGGAAUGGUGACUCUACUCUUGAAAGGUACACACAGGCUCCCAUGUGCAGUGGGUCCCAGGGCAAAGCAGAGACUCCAUAGGAAUCUGGGUCAGACCUGC
Long non-coding RNA from Sus scrofa (pig), 2756 nucleotides. RefSeq lists it as uncharacterized. The record is from RefSeq and is a predicted model, not a curated record. Lineage: Eukaryota; Metazoa; Chordata; Mammalia; Artiodactyla; Suidae.